GCCAUCAUAGCUCAGUGGCAGAGCACUGGUCUUGUAAACCGGGGGUCAUGAGUUCGAUCCUCACUGGUUGCU
This 72-nucleotide transfer RNA is filed under the name Trichonephila inaurata madagascariensis. It matches the Rfam family "tRNA". Rfam says of the family: Transfer RNA (tRNA) molecules are approximately 80 nucleotides in length. Their secondary structure includes four short double-helical elements and three loops (D, anti-codon, and T loops). The record is from Rfam by way of RNAcentral. Lineage: Eukaryota; Metazoa; Arthropoda; Arachnida; Araneae; Nephilidae.